AUAUAUAUAUAUAUAUAUAUAUAUAUAUAUAUAUAUAUAUAUAUAUAUAUAUAUAUAUAUAAAUAAUUAGACUCUUAUAAUUAAUAUCUAUAUUUUUGAUGUGGCGUUCCCAUCCAAUCAAUUAUUUUUUUUAAAUUUACUCAUCCCAUCAUAAUUAUUAAAAAAUAUAUUUUUAUUAUAUUUUUUUUCAAGUAAAAAGAUUUAGUUAACUGUUUAUUGAUAAUAUGACAUAAAUGUUACGUAGAAAACUUUCUCUAUAAUGAGAAGGAAGUCUAUACUAUAGCACUUACACCACGUCAUUAAUAAAUAAUCAAUUAUAAACGUGUGGAGGCGUUGCGAAGGGACUUCUUCUGGAAGGGUCGGGCAAGCCCUUCAAGGGGAGGUUAUAUGGUAGCUUGGAAAAAAAUUUGUAUGAGUAAGAAUGAAGGGGGAUUAGGUGAUAUCUCAUGAUGUCUCAAAUUGAAAACUUAGUUGUUUCACAUUUCCGCGAAGUUUAUUUAAAAAAAAAUAAAACAAAAUGAAUAGCAUGCUAUCUUAAGUUUCUUUUUCACACAUAAAAUUUUACAGAACUUUAAAAACAUUACAAAAAAUACUUGACAAACAUAAAAAAAAAAAAAAAA
RNAcentral lists this long non-coding RNA (620 nucleotides) under Ananas comosus (pineapple). RNAcentral describes it as "long non-coding RNA (ACOM_LNC012731)". Lineage: Eukaryota; Viridiplantae; Streptophyta; Magnoliopsida; Poales; Bromeliaceae. The record is from RNAcentral.